GACGAACGCUGGCGGCGUGCCUAAUACAUGCAAGUCGAACGAGAGCGCCCGGUGCUUGCCCUGGUCAAUCUAGUGGCGAACGGGUGAGUAACACGUGGGUAACCUGCCCAUCAGAGGGGGAUAACAUCCGGAAACGGAUGCUAAAACCGCAUAGGUCUUCGAGCCGCAUGGCUUGAAGAGGAAAAGAGGCGCAAGCUUCUGCUGAUGGAUGGACCCGCGGUGCAUUAGCUAGUUGGUGAGGUAACGGCUCACCAAGGCCGUGAUGCAUAGCCGACCUGAGAGGGUGAUCGGCCACAUUGGGACUGAGACACGGCCCAAACUCCUACGGGAGGCAGCAGUAGGGAAUCUUCCGCAAUGGACGCAAGUCUGACGGAGCAACGCCGCGUGAGUGAAGAAGGUUUUCGGAUCGUAAAACUCUGUUGUUAGAGAAGAACAAGUGCUAGAGUAACUGUUAGCGCCUUGACGGUAGCUAACCAGAAAGCCACGGCUAACUACGUG
Molecule: ribosomal RNA, 498 nt
Filed under: uncultured bacterium
Lineage: Bacteria
Description: partial 16S ribosomal RNA
Rfam family: Bacterial small subunit ribosomal RNA
Source: RNAcentral